Molecule: ribosomal RNA, 253 nt
Filed under: uncultured bacterium
Lineage: Bacteria
Description: partial 16S ribosomal RNA
Rfam family: Bacterial small subunit ribosomal RNA
Source: RNAcentral
UACGGAGGGUGCGAGCGUUGUCCGGAAUCAUUGGGCGUAAAGAGUUCGUAGGUGGCCUGUUAAGUCUGGUGUUAAAUGCAGAUGCUCAACAUCUGUUCGGCACUGGAUACUGGCAAGCUUGAAUGCGGUAGAGGUAAAGGGAAUUCCUGGUGUAGCGGUGAAAUGCGUAGAUAUCAGGAGGAACAUCGGUGGCGUAAGCGCUUUACUGGGCCGUAAUUGACACUGAGGAACGAAAGCCAGGGUAGCAAAUGGG